This 397-nucleotide ribosomal RNA is filed under the name uncultured bacterium. RNAcentral's name for it is "partial 16S ribosomal RNA". It matches the Rfam family "Bacterial small subunit ribosomal RNA", at positions 523 to 918 of the family's 1533-position model. The record is from RNAcentral.
AUACGUAGGGGGCGAGCGUUGUCCGGAAUGAUUGGGCGUAAAGGGCGCGUAGGCGGCCCGGUAAGUCUGGAGUGAAAGUCCUGUUUUUAAGAUGGGAAUUGCUUUGGAUACUGUCGGGCUUGAGUGCAGGAGAGGUAAGUGGAAUUCCCAGUGUAGCGGUGAAAUGCGUAGAGAUUGGGAGGAACACCAGUGGCGAAGGCGACUUACUGGACUGUAACUGACGCUGAGGCGCGAAAGUGUGGGGAGCAAACAGGAUUAGAUACCCUGGUAGUCCACACUGUAAACGAUGAAUGCUAGGUGUAGGGGGUAUCGACCUCUUCUGUGCCGCAGUCAACACAAUAAGCAUUCCGCCUGGGGAGUACGGCCGCAAGGUUGAAACUUAAAGGAAUUGACGGGG